UGGCAACGAUUUGCUCCAGCGAAUGAUCCGGCGAUGAUCUGCUCCAGCGAAUGCUCCAGCGACGAUUUUCUCGGCGUUCUCCUCCGACGAGAUUGUGUGCUGUGAACUGAAACGCUGUCUCCAGCGACGAUCUCCUCUGGCGGCGCGUUCUCCUCCUUCAGCGAACUUCUAUGAUUUGGAUUUGAUAUGAAGAUUGCCGCUCAUCUCAUCGCCAUCAUUCAUCUCUGCGCCAUCGCAAGCAACACCAUUUUCAAUCUGGCUCAUCUCCUCGACGUGGCAAGCAACGCCGUUGUUGCUGCCUUCAACAAGCUUCUACAGUUUAGUUUCGCGAUCUCUAUCACUUCUAAUAGAUUCUGGUCCCUAGGAUUGAAACCAUGACAGAGCAAUAAAGGUGUGCCAGGUGUGGAGUACAUCAUUUCUGAUAGGAUCUUUGAAGAUCUGCCUGACGAGGAGAAGAAGCUUUGGCACUCUCAUGCUUAUGAGGUCAAGUUAGGUCUAUUAAUAAGCCCAAGAGUUCCAGAGAUGAUUGCCAUGCCUGAGCUUGAAAACCUUGCUAAAUUCUAUGGAAAAUUCUGGUGUACUUGGCAGGCCGACAGAGGAGAUAGGGUUCCACUGGGUGCACCAGCACUAAUGAUAUCACCACAACCACAAGGGGUGAAGCCUAGGCUGGUGAGGCCAGAUCUGGUGCAUCAGAGGAAUGCAAAGUAUCAUGUUUCCUCAGACAGCUAUAAGACCUUAGUUAAGCGCGUUGCACUUUCAAAUAUUAUGGUGCUAAAUAUUUAAUUUAUAUGUAUUUCUUACACAUGAUAA
Molecule: non-coding RNA, 810 nt
Organism: Arachis ipaensis
Lineage: Eukaryota; Viridiplantae; Streptophyta; Magnoliopsida; Fabales; Fabaceae
Source: RefSeq, a predicted model, not a curated record